GAGCCUACGGGGGGCAGCAGUGGGGGAUAUUGGACAAUGGGGGAAACCCUGAUCCAGCAACGCGCGUGAGUGAAGAAGUACUUCGGUAUGUAAAGCUCUAUCAGCAGGGAAGAAAGAAAUGACGGUACCUGAGUAAGAAGCCCCGGCUAACUACGUGCCAGCAGCCGCGGUAAUACGUAGGGGGCGAGCGUUAUCCGGAAUUACUGGGAGUAAAGGGAGCGUAGACGGUAAUGCAAGUCUGGAGUGAAAGGCGGGGGCCCAACCCCCGGACUGCUCUGGAAACUGUGUAACUGGAGUGCAGGAGA
This 305-nucleotide ribosomal RNA is filed under the name uncultured bacterium. Its description in RNAcentral is "partial 16S ribosomal RNA". It matches the Rfam family "Bacterial small subunit ribosomal RNA", at positions 335 to 655 of the family's 1533-position model. The record is from RNAcentral.